Molecule: ribosomal RNA, 254 nt
Filed under: uncultured bacterium
Lineage: Bacteria
Description: partial 16S ribosomal RNA
Rfam family: Bacterial small subunit ribosomal RNA
Source: RNAcentral
UACGUAGGGGGGCAAGCGUUGUCCGGAAUCAUUGGGCGUAAAGCGCGUGUAGGCGGCUCGAUAAGUCUGCUGUGAAAGUUCAGGGCUCAACCCUGAAAUGCCGGUGGAAACUGUCGAGCUAGAGUCCGGAAGAGGCGAGUGGAAUUCCUGGUGUAGCGGUGAAAUGCGCAGAUAUCAGGAGGAACACCAAUGGCGAAGGCAGCUCGCUGGGACGGUACUGACGCUGAGGAGCGAAAGCGUGGGGAGCGAACAGG